Molecule: ribosomal RNA, 228 nt
Filed under: uncultured bacterium
Lineage: Bacteria
Description: partial 16S ribosomal RNA
Rfam family: Bacterial small subunit ribosomal RNA
Source: RNAcentral
UGCGCAGGCGGAAUAUUAAGUCAGUGGUGAAAUCUUACGGCUCAACCGUAAAACUGCCAUUGAUACUGAUAUUCUUGAGUAUAGUUGUAGUGGGCGGAAUAUAUCAUGUAGCGGUGAAAUGCUUAGAUAUGAUAUAGAACACCGAUCGCGAAGGCAGCUCACUAAACUAUAACUGACGCUCAGGCACGAAAGCGUGGGGAGCAAACAGGAUUAGAUACCCUGGUAGUC